AGAGUUUGAUCAUGGCUCAGGACGAACGCUGGCGGCGUGCUUAACACAUGCAAGUCGAACGGAAAGGCCCUUCGGGGUACUCGAGUGGCGAACGGGUGAGUAACACGUGGGUGAUCUGCCCUGCACUUUGGGAUAAGCCUGGGAAACUGGGUCUAAUACCGGAUAGGACUACGCGAUGCAUGUCGUGUGGUGGAAAGCUUUUGCGGUGUGGGAUGGGCCCGCGGCCUAUCAGCUUGUUGGUGGGGUGAUGGCCUACCAAGGCGACGACGGGUAGCCGGCCUGAGAGGGUGUCCGGCCACACUGGGACUGAGAUACGGCCCAGACUCCUACGGGAGGCAGCAGUGGGGAAUAUUGCACAAUGGGCGCAAGCCUGAUGCAGCGACGCCGCGUGAGGGAUGACGGCCUUCGGGUUGUAAACCUCUUUCAACAGGGACGAAGCGCGAGUGACGGUACCUGUAGAAGAAGCACCGGCCAACUACGUGCCAGCAGCCGCGGUAAUACGUAGGGUGCGAGCGUUGUCCGGAAUUACUGGGCGUAAAGAGCUCGUAGGUGGUUUGUCGCGUUGUUCGUGAAAACUCACAGCUUAACUGUGGGCGUGCGGGCGAUACGGGCAGACUGGAGUACUGCAGGGGAGACUGGAAUUCCUGGUGUAGCGGUGGAAUGCGCAGAUAUCAGGAGGAACACCGGUGGCGAAGGCGGGUCUCUGGGCAGUAACUGACGCUGAGGAGCGAAAGCGUGGGGAGCGAACAGGAUUAGAUACCCUGGUAGUCC
Molecule: ribosomal RNA, 771 nt
Filed under: uncultured bacterium
Lineage: Bacteria
Description: bacterial SSU rRNA
Rfam family: Bacterial small subunit ribosomal RNA
Source: RNAcentral